AGGCUUUGAUCCUGGCUCAGGAUGAACGCUAGCGGCAGGCUUAAUACAUGCAAGUCGAACGGUAACAGGCAGUAGCAAUACUGUGCUGACGAGUGGCGCACGGGUGCGUAACACGUAUGCAACCUACCCUUAACUGGGGCAUAACCCGGCGAAAGCCAGGCUAAUUCCCCAUAGUAUUGCGAUAAGGCAUCUUAUUGCAAUUAAAGAUUUAUCGGUUAAGGAUGGGCAUGCGCCCCAUUAGUUAGUUGGUAAGGUAACGGCUUACCAAGACGAUGAUGGGUAGGGGUUCUGAGAGGAUUAUCCCCCACACUGGUACUGAGACACGGACCAGACUCUACGGGAGGCAGCAGUAAGGAAUAUUGGGCAAUGGGCGCGAGCCUGACCCAGCCAUGCCGCGUGCAGGAAGACGGCCUUAUGGGUUGUAAACUGCUUUUAUAUGGGAAUAACCUAUCCCACGUGUGGGGUACUGUAUGUAC
RNAcentral lists this ribosomal RNA (476 nucleotides) under uncultured Bacteroidota bacterium. Its description in RNAcentral is "bacterial SSU rRNA". It matches the Rfam family "Bacterial small subunit ribosomal RNA", at positions 8 to 478 of the family's 1533-position model. The record is from RNAcentral. Lineage: Bacteria; Pseudomonadati; Bacteroidota.